Petromyzon marinus (sea lamprey) is the source of this 3219-nucleotide non-coding RNA. Lineage: Eukaryota; Metazoa; Chordata; Hyperoartia; Petromyzontiformes; Petromyzontidae. The record is from RefSeq and is a predicted model, not a curated record.
CCAGCGCUGCGGGUGGCGCCACGUGGGUAACGAGACGCUGACGAGAGGGCCGGGGCGACUCGUGCCGCUCCGGCUCGGUGCCUCUCGUUCCGCGCAGCGCGGCAGAGGUCCCAACCCCACCAAGGACCGAGCGCGGCUGCUGCGCCUGGCCGGCCAUUACAAACCGCUGCCCCGCAUCGAUCGCUAUUACCCCGCCUUUUCCCCCCCAGAGUGCGAGCACGUAUGUGCGUGCAUGCGCGCGUCCGCAUGCAAGCGCUGGCGCACGGGCGCACGCGCGCGGAGUCGUGCGCCAGCGUGUGGAGUCGCGCGGCCAUGGGGAUGCACCAAUUCUGCGGUGCUGUCAUAAAAAAAAAUCCCGAGUGCAAGAGGAGGACAAGGAAGCGGCCAUUCUUCAGCUGGGCCGGGGACAUAAAUUUGCCUGGUGCUGACAGCUGCUGACCACUCUGCUGACGGGCGGGCAGAUGGGCCGUAAACACGGUGGCAGAGCCAUCCAUCAACGAGCCAGAAGUGACCACACACGCCUCGUCCAAAACAAUCCCUCAAGGCCCUGUUCGACCACACAACCAACCUGCUCACUGCUGCUGCGUAGGUCACGCUACAAGGUUGGAUCUUGAGAGAUGGUUGACCAUGCUGGACCCCCACACCGCUAAAUUUACGGAGCCCAAGACGGAUGCAGACGUCCCACACUCUCCAGGCCUCCACACGGGCGCUGCAAAUCGACUCACUGCGGCGCACCCAUUAAUCCUGCGGGGUGCUACCAAUGUGCGCUCCGUGCCGUGGAGUAAGCGGCGGAUGAGGGGGCCGACAGCACCGCACCGCUGAGCCGUGGGGCAUGGCGCGUGCACAGGUGACGUCCACAUUCAGGCGAUGGGGAUUCGUGAUGGACUGGACUCGCAAGAGUGCGCAACAACACCAACGACCGCUUUGGGCAUUCACUCGCGGUGCGGUACUGAGUGGUGUGGCAGUGGUUAGUGCGCUGCUCUGUGAACCUGGCGACGUGAGUUCGAUGUAUGGCCAUGGCGAACCUCCGUGGUGAGAUCACAACCGGUCUGGUGUGGCCACCUUCUGCUUGGUGGAGCAGUGGGCAAUCAAUCCCCAUGGCUGCUUUCAUCCAGCAGUGGAGUGACAGAGGGCUAAAAAAAUGUAUGUUGCAUUGGUGCACACGAUUGGCCGUACUUAUGAUUUGAAACCCUGUGAUGUUCUUUGUUUCUUGCCAUGUCGUGAUAUCACAGACUAAUUCUCACAGUAUACCCGGGGGGCUAGAGCCAACCAUUUCCUCUCGGGGGUUUUUGAAGUCAUCGAGUGAUAAAAAAAAAAUGUCAUGUCCGAAAUUUCAACAGUGGCAAAAAAGGUCAUAUCCUAAAAUUCAAUAAUGAGCGUGCAGCUUUGUUCUCGGCCUUCUUGUGAUCGCUAAGUCCAAUACAGUGACAACAUUUGAUUUUGACCUAAUCUUCGGGGUAAUAAUACAUGGUGGCCAUUAACAUAUUUUUUCUUCAUAUAAGCAACAUUCUACCCAGAGUCCUAUUUGCCUCGAAUUACUAAAUCUUGCACCAGGGACUUUUGUGGCCACUGGGUAGAACAAACACACAAACCUGGAGUGGCCACAGUCGCAAAGUGGGAUUCAAACACCCACAAUAGAAAUAGACAAUAAUGCGUGCACAAUAAUGCGUACGCGCACAGGAGCUCCGUACACACAGGCACUAAAAGACAAAGAUCCCCACCUAUGCGUAUUGACUGCAGGGGCAAGUACUGCUGCUGUGCACGGCACAUUAGAGAUGGUACGAUCGGCACUAUGCUGAGCUGCCUCCGUCUACCCGAGUCAAGGUGUGUUGACACACCGCAUCAGAUGGACGUUUUAGGCAGAGUUGACCUUGGCAGGGAGGCUCAGGGCUCGGUUUGGUGCGUACGCCCAGGAAUUGAACAUCGGCUGCCGGGAUCACAUUGUAGCGAGGCCACCACCACACACAUUGCUCGCCCACCAUCUGGGGGACUCUUAUAUACGCGCGCAGGCACGCGCUCACAGAGAGAGACAGAGAACAAACAAAAAAACCCCACACACGCUUCAAACGAACGGUGGCAGAUGUAGCUUUGUUACCUUCAGACUCGGCCAGCGCACAAAAGAAACACAGUGCCGCCUGCUCGGGAGAGAGAAAGGGGCGCUCGACCUCCGCCGAGGGAGUCUACGAGCCGCAAUUACGGCCGAAGCGUCGGGUCGUGCCGCCCGAACUCUCUUGUGGACGCGAGCAACGUUGGCGGGACCCAUCGUCUCGUCACACCCCGGCCUGCAGCCAGCCGCCACCCCCACCCCACCCAGUCGAACCGAGAGCAUUUGCAGGUGCUUGCUGCAAGCCAGCGAGCCGCGGAGAUGAGAAUGCGGGCGCACGGGACAAUUAGAGCACAAUUAGAGGACAAUUUGAAGGAUUGUCGUGGGCGACUCAGCACCGCCCUGCCACCGUCUCUGUGCCACCGCCCCCCGCCCAGAGCGUCACCGCCGUAUGGGGUUAAAUUCGUGAUUUGUCUCCAUGCUUAUUUUCGUUUUCGUGCGGCAUUGGAGUCAAAUCUGUGUCGGCACGUUUACGUGACGUUUUACGUUCGCGUUGUUUCGUGGUGGAACACGAACGUUGCGCUGCAGGCGUGGGUAGUGGCAGAACAAAGCAUGUCUCUGUUUUCCCACAAUCCCCUACAGACACACACAUAUUCCGUCAUGGAAUGGCUUUCAAAGACACAGGAGGCCUCCCGUCCUGUACAUUUUACAAACCUGAUAUAUUACAAACAUCGAGACUGCACACUGUUAUUCAUGGAGCAAACGAGUGCUUCGCUCAGAUGAGAUACUCUAAAGACACAGAUUGCCAGGCUUGACCGUGUGAAGCAGGGGAAACAGUAUUUGUACGUGCACUCAUUGACGACAGUGGCUCAUUCCGUGACGCUCUCUGCGCAAGAGAACCUUGGUUUUCAACCUUCCGUGGGAGCCGGAGAUUUCCAUCCAAGAUCUCAGUAGAAUUUGCUCAGCACUCGGUCACAGCCACCCACGUAGUCUUGUGAGGAGGCACCCAGCCCACUUCGUCGGUCACUGCCAUUCUCGAGGAUUGUGUCCGCGUGCAGUUUGCUGUUAUUCUUCAUGUUGCUAUUAUCACGAUUGAUUACGCAGGAAAGCCUCAGAGUCUCAAGACUCCUUUUCCAGGAUAGUCUUGCCAGGUUUUCGCAGUGAGAGGGGGGGGG